CAGGAAGCAGCAGGGCAGCUCUGGAAACCGCAGGCAGAGGAAGUGCGGAAACCAGACUUCACUUACCGCAGGAUUUUGCCUAGAGCUGCCCUACAUGAAACAGCCAGAAAUAAUUUCAAGACCACAGAAGUGCUGAGUUUUUAGUGGUGGCAGAUCCCUGCUGACAUCCCACCGGGCGUGUUUGAUGGCUUCCCUCUACUCCACACCAGAUGCCUCUGGAUGAUAUGAGCUCAGAAUGCACUUCUCCCACAAGCUCAAAAGAGGCCACAGCGUGAGCAGGUCCCAUCUGCCAAGGGAUUCCACCGCUUGCAUGGAGGCACCAGCAGCCAUUUCUCUAGUUUACGUUGGUGUGAAGCUUUCCAGCAGAAUAAAAGAUGCCAUGAAGUAAACAGGCCUCCUAUGCCACACAUUCUCACUGUGAUGUACUGUGCCAGUACUGUGAUGUACUUGACCGAAAGCAACAGGGCCAAGCAACCAUGGACUGAAGCCUCUGAAACUAGUAUCGUCCUGCUGACAAUCCUUUCCUAGGACUGCCUGUUGCCACCAGGAAAAAGAUGCCACAGAAAGUUCCCACCGGACGAAACCAGCUGCCCAGAUUUUCUUCUCAGGAAGAUUUGGGAGAAAAUUUCCCAUGAAAAAAUUUGCUAUAUGAUUUUAAUAUUUUUGUUAUUUUCAUUUUAACAAUUAUUGCAGCCAAACUAGCCAGUGACAAAAUAACUGAAAAUGAUUGUGAAUGCAUAAAAUUUAUAUGAAAUGUGAAAGUCUUUGGCCCUACUUUUUGGAAGUUAAAUGUCCCAAUAAGAAGAACCAUAAUUUUAGCAUGGAACAAAAUGUAUGUUUUUGUGUUAAUUAUAUUGAAAACAUGCAUAUUUGAAUCGAUCCUCAGUUUAUCUUGUAUUUUCACACACAAAAGAAGUUAACUCAGAAUUUUUAAGAUUUCACCAAUGGAAUAAAUUUGAAUUCUCUGAACCUGAAAAGAUAGUUUCAAUAUAUAUGAAGAAUUAUAUUUACAUUAAUGUAUAUGUAACGUGGGAGCAAAAGACCACAAAACUUCCACCGUGAAAUAACAAAUGAGAAAACAUUUGUUGAAGUCAGUUUUCCAGUGUGGUUACAGUUAUGAGGUAGAAAUGGAAAGUGUCUUUCUGAAUCUCCUUGCUUUGUAUCCUUUCCCAUUAAAGGGCAAUGAAAACUACUAGGAUUUGUACUUAUUAAAGAUUCCAAAAAUUUAAAACAAAAUGCUUAGUUUCAAAAGCUGAAGUCUGCAGUCACCAGGUCCUUUCGGUGAAAACAGUUGUCUCAUCACUUUACUUCUGGGAGAGCUGCUUGGCACAUAGUGAACAGGAAUGAAAACAUGAGACAGCAGAAAAUCUAAGACAGUGCAGUCUGACAGGCAUCCUUUUGUAAUCAGUAAUGGAAUAGCUGGAACGCUACCUUUAUACGCAGAAGUUUCUG
This is a long non-coding RNA of Heterocephalus glaber (naked mole-rat), 1452 nucleotides long. Lineage: Eukaryota; Metazoa; Chordata; Mammalia; Rodentia; Bathyergidae. The record is from Ensembl.